GACGGCCAGAUAACCGCUCCCGUUUCAACGCACGGGAGAGGAACUUCCGGACUUCAUAGGGCAGUGCGCCGCUUGAAAGGGCGGGCUGACGGGGCUAAAAUCCCGUCGGACGGAAAGUGCCGCAGAAAAUAAACCGCCGCAAGGUAAGGGUGAAAAGGUGCGGUAAGAGCGCACCGCGCGUUUGGCAACAAACGCGGCAAGGCAAACCCCGCACGAAGCAAGGCCAAGCCGGUUCACACGCUGCCCGCGUUCGCAACCAAGUAGGCCGCUUAGAGUAAUGGUUAUCCGACUCGCAAGAGUUGACAGAAUCUGGGGUAUCGGCCGUCC
This 327-nucleotide RNase P RNA is filed under the name bovine gut metagenome. Its description in RNAcentral is "Bacterial RNase P class A". It matches the Rfam family "Bacterial RNase P class A". From Rfam's summary of the family: Ribonuclease P (RNase P) is a ubiquitous endoribonuclease, found in archaea, bacteria and eukarya as well as chloroplasts and mitochondria. Its best characterised activity is the generation of mature 5'-ends of tRNAs by cleaving the 5'-leader elements of precursor-tRNAs. The record is from RNAcentral.